GCUGCAAAAGAUAUUUAUUGGUAUCACAGAGACGAUGGACACCCAAAAUUAUUGCUGGAUAGGAGACACUUAUGGUAAAGGAGCUGUUCCCAUACGGGAUCCUACGUUAUCGCUUAAGCAUAUAUCCAACACUCUUUGUGUCCAUUGUCUAUUACAGUAAAUUUAAGCAAACUACAAACAUAUGUUGUAUUCCAAUAUCGAAUUAUUCAUUCUUGAACAGCCCAAAAUGGGGUAUAACUGAAAUAUGGGAGAAUAGCUAUAUUAUUUAGAAUUUUAUGUUGUGUAAUGUGAGGUUCAGAGUUCCAGUAAAGGAAAUCUCGAUAAACUUAAAUCAGAUCAACUAAAUAUAUCCAUCAUAUACACAAUUAGCCUUCACAUUUCUAUUUGUGUAAGCCUGCAUUAUUGCCACAUGAACUGUCCAUGUUGUUUGUGUUGCAACUCUGGCCAUGCAAUGUGGUUUGAUUCAAUGUAUGUAGGACCAAUUGUCAAUGGUUAUACUUGAGUAAUUACGGUGAUGCAAGACCAAAGUCAGCUCUGUACCAACUGAAGUUUAUCCAUCAGUAUUACUUUGGGCCUUUUGUAGUUUGCAUACAUUGCCACAAACAAAAAUAAGCUUCCAUGUUGCUUCAAAGGUAAAAGAAAUUGCACACCAACAAUCUAUAUCAACUUAACACCCCCUCUCUCUCGUGCAUUUCUAUCUCACAUGACUACACCUACAAGUGGAGAGGUAAACAGAGAGAAAACUUACACUUUCAAACCAGCAAAGAAAUGGGGUUUAAGGAUUGAAGGUUUCAAACCCAUGAGUAAUUGCAAUUGAAGCUCAAAUACCUGUUAGGAUUUUGGCUCGUCAAAUAUGUCCUAGUUGGUUUAGGAUUGUUUUAGGAAACCUAGAGGUAUACCGAUUCUUGUCCUAGAGGUAUUAGGAAAGAAUUUCAGUUUCCUUAUUCAAUUUAGGUUUGGAUUUCUAGAAGUCUAUUUGGUUUUGGAUAGUGUAAUUCCCUGGUCCACUUAGAAAUAGGAAUUCAAUCAGCCUUGGGACAUGUAAGCCAACCCUAUGUCUAUAAAUAGGGUGCGGCAAGGCUGAUUUUAUAGGAGAGAAAGAAAACAGCCAGACAGCCAAGAGUUUUGAGAUUAGUUCUAGGGUUUGCAAAAGUUCUGUAAUCUCUAUUAUUAAUCAAAGGAGCAGUGAUUUCUAUGACUAGAGAAAUCACAACUGGACGUAGGCAUAAGUUCUGCCAAACCAGUAUAAUUCUUGUGUGUUUCUAAGUUUUCUAAUAUUUGUUAGUUUAGUCUAUUGUUGUUGGUUACAUUAAAGAACAAGAUCUAGUGUGCGGGUUUUUCAACAAUUGGUAUCAAGAGCUAGGAACAAGGUGUUCUACGAUGUCAAAAGGGAAGAUGAAUGCAGAUCAAGGAUCUGCGUUAAAGCCCUUUGACGGCAAGGAUGACUUCACAGACUGGCAAAGGAUGAUGAAGAACGUACUGAUAGAGCAGGAUUUGGAUGAUGCACUCGAUGGUGAGAAGCCGGAAAACAUGACAGAGGCAGCAUGGACUAAGGUUCUCAAGAAGGCCAAGAGUUCCAUCAAGAUCCAUCUCACAAGAUCAGUUCGGUCACACAUCACCGAAAAGAUGACUGCCCACAAGCAUGGGAAAAGUUGGAGAAUGUUUAUAUGGGCAAAAUCGUGUCCAAUAAACUUUUUCUAAAGGAUGAACUAUUCGGGCUUCGACUAGAAGAAGGAGGUGAUAUUGAAGAUCACGUAUGCAGGUUCCAGAAUUGCAUAGCUAAUCUUCAGAAGGUCGAAGAAACUUACAAAGAUGAUGAUAUGGCUAUCAUCUUGCUGAGGUCUCUACCUUUGUCUUUCAAGCACUUUCGAACAACUCUAAUGUUUGGAAAAGAGUCCUUGAAGCUUGAAGACGUAAUUCAAGCUCUUCAGUAAUAUGCUAAACUGGAUGAUAUAACUGAAAGCUCUUAAGGCCUUUAUGCUAAAGGCAAGGAGAGGGGGUGGGAAAAGACAAAGGAAGAGAAGACUGAACUCUGGCAUCAUAGGCUUGGGCACAUAAGCCAGAAAGGUUGCAAGAAUUACACAAGCAAGGCCUAUUGGAAGGCGUGUCAUCUUGCAAAUUGGACUUUUGUGAAUACUGUGUUCUCGGAAAGCAAAGAAAGGUAUCAUUCGCAAGUAGCAGUGCAGAUAACCGAAGCAAGGAGCAACUCAGCUAUAUUCACUCAGAUGUUUGGGGCCCUGCACCAACUAAAUCAAAUGGUGGAGCCAAGUAUUUUGUUACUUUCAUGGAUGAUUUUUCUAGGAAGGUUUGGGUUUAUUUCAUGAAGCAAAAAUCUGAGGUUUUUGCAACGUUCAAGGAAUGGAAAACAGAAACCGAGAAUCAAACGGGAAGAAAGAUCAAGUACCUGUGAAGUGACAAUGGUGGUGAAUAUACAAGUAAUGAGUUCACCGAUUACUGCAAGCAUGAAGGCAUCAUAAAGCACUUCACAGUAAAGAAGAAUCCCCCACAAAAUGGAGCUGAGAGGAUGAACUGAACUCUCAUGGAGAGAGAGAGGAGCAUGCGAUUUCAUGCAGGAUUACCUGAUAGUUUUUGGGCAGAGGCUGUUAACCAUGCAAGUUAUUUGAUUAACAAGUCACCAUCUACAGUUCUUGGUUUUAAGAAUGCAGAAGAGGUAUGGUCUGACAAGCCGGUGGACUAUUCCAAGCUCAGGGUGUUCGGCUGUAGUGCUUAUGCACAUAUUCCAAGUGAUGAAAGGUCCAAGCUCAAACCAAAGUCUACACAUUGCAUAUUCUUAGGUUGUGAGAAAGGAGUUAAGGGUCUCAAGUUUUGGGAUUUCAACAACAGGAAAAAGGUUGUUAGUCGAGAUGUUUUCUUUGAUGAAACAACCAUGCCUCUUAAUAAAGUCAAGAGCAGUAGGGAGAAGACGGACGAUGCUAAAAUUGAAGCAACAAAGAUUCCAUUAAUCAGUUCAGAUGAAGAAGCUUAGGUGGAGCAAAUCGAGCAAGAGACCAAAUCUGAUGGUUUUGAGGAAGAAGAAGAGCAUCAGCAUGGUUCACCAGUUAGGAAUCAGGUGGACCAAGAAACAGGACAAAUUGAAGGCACUCCAAUCCGCUAGACAUCCCAAAGUGGUCAAACUCCAACCAACAAUCCAUCUACAUUCUAGAGAUGCAUAGCACUGGACAAACCUAAUCGGAACAAGAAACCUGACAGAUUUGGGUUUGACCAAGAUGAAGUUAAUUAUGCUCUUAACAUUAGUCAAGGAGAUCCGACUACUUAUCGAGAAGCUAUAGCUAAUGAUGAGCGAGAUAGUUGGAUAAGUGCUAUGAUAGAAGAAAUGGAGUCUCUUUACAAGAACUCUGUUUGGGAGUUGGUUUCUAAGCCCAAAGACAGAAAGCUAGUUGGAUGCAAGUGGGUAUUUAGGAAAAAGGAAGGACUACAUGAACAAGAUGCCAUGAGAUUCAAAGCAAGGCUCGUGGCUAAGGGGUACUCACAAAAGGAAGGGGUGGAUUAUGAUGAGAUCUUUUCACCUGUAGUCAAGCAUACUUCUAUCAGAUUACUCUUAGCUAUGGCAGCUCAGCAUAACAUGGAGAUUGAGCAGAUGGAUGUGAAGACAGCGUUACUUCAUGGAGAUCUAGAGGAGACGAUUUUCAUGGCUCAACCAUAAGGGUUUGUUGAAUAUGGGAAAGAGAACCUAACCUAGUAUGUCAGCUAAGGAAGUCCCUGUAUGGCCUCAAACAAUCUCCAAGACAGUGGUACAAGAGGUUUGAUUCAUUCAUGCUGAAUCAAUUUUAGAAGAUGUUUAUAUGACUAUUGCAUGUACUAUCAUGUGUUCCAAGAUGGGAUGAUCAUAUUACUAUUGCUAUAUGUGAAUGGCAUGCUAAUUUCUUGUCAAGACAAGUCUAGAAUUUAAGACUUGAAAAAGAUGUUGAGUAAGGAGUUUGAUAUGAAGGAUCUAGGUGCUGCACAAAAGAUCCUUGGCAUGGAAAUUCAGAGAGAUAGGACCGCUGGAAGGAUCUGGAUAUCACAAGCCAAGUAUAUUCAGAAGGUUCUUGAGAAGUUCAACAUGCAAGAAGCAAAGGUAGUUUCGACUCCUUUGACGGCUCACUUCAGGUUAAGUGGGCAACAAUGUCCUACGUCCGAGGAAGAGCAACAAGUAAUGAAGAAGGUGCCUUAUGCUAAUGCCACGGGCUGCCUCAUGUAUGCAAUGGUAUGCACACGUCUUGACAUAGCUCAAGCAAUCAGUGUCGUUUCCAGAUACAUGGCAAAUCCAGGAAAGCAACAUUGGGAUGCAGUCAAGUGGAUUUUGCGUUAUUUGAAGGGUUCUUGGUGACAAAGGAUUAUGUUUAAGAAGCAAAAAGAAAAUGCAGGAGUGUUAGGAUAUGUGGAUGGAUGCAGAUUAUGCAGGGGACUUGGACAAGAGAAGGUCAACUUCUGGUUAUGUGUUUACAUGCACAACAGGACCAAUCAGUUGGAGGGCACUAUCGCAACCAAAUAUAGCUUUGUUGACCACACAGGCAGAGUAUAUUGCUUUGGCUGAAGCUAGAAAGGAAGCAAUUUGGCUUAGUGGCUUGGUAAGUCAAAUGGGAAUGACUCAAGAUUGUGUGAAGCUGAAGUGUGAUAGUCAAAGUGCCAUUUUUUCUGGAAGAUCAAAGCACAUUGAAGCAAGGUAUCAUAGAAUCAGAAAUUGGGUGGAGUCUACGGAAAUUUGGAUUGAAAAGAUUCAUACGGAUGACAAUGCCGCAGAUUUGCUUACAAAGAUAGUGCCGGCCAAGAAGUUCAAGCAUUGCUUGAACUAGAUUUGAUUAAAGUGGAGCAUCUCCUCACUUGAGGUGCAAUGAGGCAAGAAGAAGAUUGCCAAGGUGAAGACUCUUGAAGAUUUCCAAAGCUGCUUCAAGAAGGUUCAAAGAUACUUUGGGGUGCAACGAUCAAGACUUGGUUUGACUCACCAAGGUUGAGAUUCUUAGGAUUUUGGCUCCUCAAAUAUGUCCUAGUUGGUUUAGGAUUGUUUUAGGAAACCUAGAGGUAUACCGAUUCUUGUCCUAGAGGUAUUAGUAAAGAAUUUCAGUUUCCUUAUUCAAUUUAGGUUUGGAUUUCUAGAAGUCUAUUUGGUUUUGGAUAGUGUAAUUUCCUAGUCCACUUAGAAAUAGGAAUUCAAUCAGCCUUGGGACAUGUAAGCCAACCCUAUGUCUAUAAAUAGGUUGCGCAACGCUGAUUUUAUAGGAGAGAAAGAAAACAGCCAGACAGCCAAGAGUUUUGAGAUUAGUUCUAGGGUUUGCAAAAGUUCUAUAAUCUCUAGUAUUAAUCAAAGGAGCGGUGAUUUCUCUGCCUAGAGAAAUCACAACUGGAUGUAGGCCUGAGUUCUGCUGAACCAGUAUAAUUCUUAUGCGUUUCUAAGUUUUCUAAUAUUUGCUAGUUUAGUCUAUUGUCGUUGGUUAUAUUAAAGAACAAGAUAUAGUGUGCGGGUUUUUUAACAAUACCAUGUUAGACAAGACCCCAAAGGCUUACGUCAUUAGGGAAUGUACCAACACUGUAUAUUAAGCUAACUAUAAUGACUUUGCACAAUUUCAAUGUUGACUUUAUUAUCAAAGGUUUUUUUUUUUUUCCAUAAUCCAGGUUGGUCCUAAAGUAAAUUGCCCUUGAAUUAGCAUGGUAAAUAUAGCAUAAAAAGAAAGGAGUUACAUCUAGUUGUGAAAUUUAGGUUCUUAGGGAAAUUUUAUGAGCAGUGAAGCAACUACUUUAGAAUGGAAUAAGGAGGCUUUGUUAGUAAUUAAGUUCUCCAAGUUCUGCCAUCAUUCUGUGUCAGAUUGUAGGCAGUGGGAACUUCACAGUUCAAACAUAGCAAAGGGAAAAAUUAUUUCUAUUUAAUUGUGUAAUAAAAGAAAUCAAAUACCACCUGG
Molecule: long non-coding RNA, 5897 nt
Filed under: Malus domestica (apple)
Lineage: Eukaryota; Viridiplantae; Streptophyta; Magnoliopsida; Rosales; Rosaceae
Description: long non-coding RNA (MDOM_LNC018769)
Source: RNAcentral